UACGUAGGGGGCAAGCGUUGUCCGGAUUUACUGGGCGUAAAGAGCGUGUAGGCGGCCAAGCAGGUCCGUUGUGAAAACUGGAGGCUUAACCUCCAGACGUCGACGGAAACCGCGUGGCUAGAGUCCGGAAGAGGAGAGUGGAAUUCCUGGUGUAGCGGUGAAAUGCGCAGAUAUCAGGAAGAACACCAAUGGCGAAGGCAGCUCUCUGGGACGGUACUGA
RNAcentral lists this ribosomal RNA (220 nucleotides) under uncultured bacterium. RNAcentral's name for it is "partial 16S ribosomal RNA". It matches the Rfam family "Bacterial small subunit ribosomal RNA", at positions 524 to 743 of the family's 1533-position model. The record is from RNAcentral.